GGAAGCUUGGUGUCAGCGUCGAGUUCACAAUAAUGCCUUCAACAAGCUGGCGUGUUAACAGGUGCGGCCUCUAACCAAAGCCGUUCAUCACAAGAAAGUGACUCUCGGGCUACUGCUGGAAUUGAAUCACAGAAUCCGAGCUGAUCACAGUUCAAGAUGUUUUUUUUGCGGGGGCAGAGGUUUCUGCUGUGGUUCAAUAGGGAUCCAAUAGGGGUCCAGGAUCUGGACUUGAUAAAAAAAUUCAAAAUCGAAGAGGAUGCGGGGGGAGAAAGAAAGAGACUGCCGACACGUGACAGUGUGGGGACAUCGACAAAAGCUCUGUGGUCCUGCAGCCUGCAAGCUAGCGAGGUGCAACGCUGAUGAUGAGC
This is a long non-coding RNA of Gasterosteus aculeatus aculeatus (three-spined stickleback), 368 nucleotides long. NCBI's taxonomy places the organism in Eukaryota, Metazoa, Chordata, Actinopteri, Perciformes, Gasterosteidae. The record is from Ensembl.